GACAGAGGGUGCAAACGUUGUUCGGAAUUACUGGGCGUAAAGCGCGUGUAGGCGGCCAUGCAAGUCGGAUGUGAAAGCCCUCGGCUCAACCGGGGAAGUGCACUCGAAACUGCAAGGCUAGAGUCUCGGAGAGGAUCGUGGAAUUCUCGGUGUAGAGGUGAAAUUCGUAGAUAUCGAGAGGAACACCGGUGGCGAAGGCGGCGAUCUGGACGAUGACUGACGCUGAGGAGCGAAAGCGUGGGGAGCGAACAGG
Molecule: ribosomal RNA, 253 nt
Filed under: uncultured bacterium
Lineage: Bacteria
Description: partial 16S ribosomal RNA
Rfam family: Bacterial small subunit ribosomal RNA
Source: RNAcentral